Molecule: ribosomal RNA, 406 nt
Filed under: uncultured bacterium
Lineage: Bacteria
Description: partial 16S ribosomal RNA
Rfam family: Bacterial small subunit ribosomal RNA
Source: RNAcentral
AUUGAACGCUGGCGGCAGGCCUAACACAUGCAAGUCGAGCGAGCGGCGGACGGGUGAGUAAUGUCUGGGAAACUGCCUGAUGGAGGGGGAUAACUACUGGAAACGGUAGCUAAUACCGCAUACCAUCAGAUUUGCUCAGAUGGGGUUAGCUAGGAGGUGGGGUAACGGCUAACCUGGGCAACGGUCCCUAGCUGGUCUGAGAGGAUGACCAGCCACACUGGAACUGAGACACGGUCCAGACUCCUACGGGAGGCAGAGGUGGGGAAUAUUGCACAAUGGGCGCAAGCCUGAUGCAGCCAUGCCGCGUGUGUGAAGAAGGCCUUCGGGUUGUAAAGCACUUUCAGCGGGGAGGCGUUACCCGCAGAAGAAGCACCGGCUAACUCCGUGCCAGCAGCCGCGGUAAUUC